RNAcentral lists this ribosomal RNA (425 nucleotides) under uncultured prokaryote. RNAcentral's name for it is "bacterial SSU rRNA". It matches the Rfam family "Bacterial small subunit ribosomal RNA", at positions 355 to 774 of the family's 1533-position model. The record is from RNAcentral.
UGAGGAAUUUUACGCAAUGGGCGAAAGCCUGACGCAGCGACGCCGCGUGAGUGAUGAAGGUCGUAAGAUCGUAAAACUCUUUUCAGGGAUCUUAAAGCCUGUCUGUCAACAACAGGCAGGUCUGACUCUCCCUGGAAGAAGCCCCAGCCAACUACGUGCCAGCAGCUGCGGUAAUACGGGGGGUGCAAGCGUUGUUCGGAAUCAUUGGGCGUAAAGCGCGCGCAGGCGGCUUGGUAAGUCAGAUGUGAAAGCUAUGGGCUCAACCCAUAAACUGCAUCUAAGACUGGUUCUCUUGAGUCCGGGAGAGGAGAGCGGAAUUCCAGGUGUAGCGGUGAAAUGCGUAGAUAUCUGGAAGAACACCAGUGGCGAAGGCGGCUCUCUGGCCUAGGACUGACGCUGAACCGCGAAAGCCAGGGGAGCGAACG